RNAcentral lists this long non-coding RNA (3580 nucleotides) under Sus scrofa (pig). RNAcentral describes it as "lncRNA (ENSSSCG00050040589.1)". The record is from RNAcentral. Lineage: Eukaryota; Metazoa; Chordata; Mammalia; Artiodactyla; Suidae.
UUUUUUGGAAAAGUAAAUCAUUUUCUACAUAUUCAAAAGAUUAAUAAGGAUGUGAAGCUGAAAGAAAACUAAAAUGAGUGAACUCAACUGUAUUUCAAAUGAAUACACAUCCAUACUCAGGGGAUAAAAAGAAGUGAUCCAAGUAAUUAUGAGUAGAGCAUUUGAUUAUAUAUACUCACAGAACUGAGUAGGGUGAAGAGGGAGAACUUCAAAGAAAUCGAACUCUUUCUGGUAAAUCUCUCGGUUUGAGUGGUAUCAGGAACCAGUUCUGAAACUAUUUUAGAUCUAUAAUUGCGCUGCUCAAAUAAGUUAAAGUAUCAAUGCUGUGGGAAGCCAAUGUUCUCGCUGUAUAAGGGACAUAUAAAUAUGGAAAAGUGGAAAACAAGAAUGCAUUAGAAUUAGAAAUACUGCCGUGAACUAAGAGAUCUAAAAUCCAUAUAUGUGUGUUAUCAGUAUGCAUGUCUGCAUAUAUUUAGUUAUCAAUGUAGAUGUGUAUAUAAAUAUAGGCCUAAACUUCUGAGACCUCUCCUCUAAAAGCGCCUAAAAGCCAAGACCCCACAGUGAUGCACAGUCUACUACCUUAUGCACUAAUGUUCUAGUACCGAGACCUUGAUCUCUAAACCAUUUCCCCUGAAAACAAUCAGAGCUCUCAGAGAACUGCUAAAAGCCACCACUGUGGAAUAGAUCAGAGAUAAGCCUGUUUCAACCCCCUUUGCUGGAAAGCCUCAUUAAUGUGAUGGGGAAUGCCAUGCACUUCUACUAACCAAACCUGGACGAUUUGGACACCAAAAUAAUUGAGUAAUGAAUUAUAAACAAUGACAAGAAUAGAUAACCAUGGGCUCAUAUCAAUGAUAAAUGAGUGAAUGAAUAAGUAAAUCAAUCAGUCAUCAGAAUGGUUUUUGCUUACAGUGGAACCAUGACGCUGAAUGGAAGGGAGCUAGAAUUGGAAAGUCAGCAGUUUGCAACCAUUACGGAAAAAACUGUACCAGUCAAGAAUUAUCAAUGAUAUCUAGGUGGAAAUUUUGGUAAGGAGCAGAUAUUUGCAUGAUAUUAAAGUAUUUCCCCACUGACUUAUCAUAGUUACAAGGGAAAAAAAAAAAAAAAAAAAAAAAAAAAAGCUCUACAGCAGAGAAAUCUGACAACACUCUGAAUGAUCAAAAUUAACAUUCCCAAUGUGCCUUCAGCUGUAAUAGCCCAAGAAGGAUACAACAUUAUUUAUGGUGUAUUCUGGUUGUACUACAUAACCCAAAUCUAAUCAUGAGGAAACAGCAGACAAUCCCAAAUGAGGAGUGACAGACAGAUAAUGAAGGACUGUAUCAUUCAAAAACAUCAAUAUCAUAAAAGGCAAAGAAAGACUGACUGUGUGACCAUGUAGAAUUAAAGAAGGCAAAAGAGGAGUUCCCCAUCAUGGCUCAUCGGUUAAAGAACCCAACUAGUAUCCAUGAGGACAUGGGUUCAAUCCCUGCCCUUGCUCAGGAUCAAACCACACUCCCCAUGGCUACUAGUCAUUACUGCUGAGCCACAACAGAAAUUCCACAAUUAUUUUUCAUUAGAAAGGGCAGUUUCCUGCAGAUCACCAUAAAAAUGAAUGUAUUUAUAUAAAAAUCACUUUUUUAGUCUAAAUCUUCAUUCUACUACUAUUUCCAAAUGCCUCAACCAAUGGCACAAAACACCUUGACAUCUAUGGUAAUCAGGAAUUGUCUCCACCUUUAGUGUCUUUCAAGGCUGCAACUAUUAUUGCCAUGCUUCCACCCAAAAAAGACAUAUAAAGCCAGCAUCUUUCUCAAUGAUUUACUGAAAGCAGAAGCUCGUUUUAAUAAAACCAUCCCAAAACAUAAAAUUGAUUGAACCAACUGCUGUGGUGGGCAUACACAACAGCUGAUCAAAAUUAUUCAAGAUUUUUAUUCUUACAGAUUUUCUUUGAGGCUUUGAGAAUUUUUUUCCCAGUCUAUACUUUUAUCUUGACACUGAAAUCUCUGAGCUAGAGCAAAAAGGAUUUUUAAAUCUAUGGAAUAAAGUUUUAAACAAUAAAGUAAGUCAAUUCAAAAAAAUAAUAAAUCAGAUCACAUACAAAUUAAUGCAUAUACAAAAACUAAUAACCACUUUUCUAGAAUGUAUUUUGAGUAACAAUAAUUAAAAGUUUAAACAGAGUCACCUCUCAUGUUGUCAAAAAUUGUGCGGCUUUUCCUAGGUAUAAUAGCACUGCCACUUAGCAAAGUGUUACAUCAUCACACAUGAUAUAUUACCCUGAUUCCCUACAAAGGAAAACUUAGUACAAUUAGAAAUUAUUUCUCUUUAUAACUGGAUUUCUUGAUAUUAAACAUUUUAAGAUUUUUUUAUCUCAUUAAAAAACAGACAUUUAUGGUUUCAUUGCAUAUUAAAUGAUGCCUUUGACUUUUUAUAAGAAAGUAAUUUUAUAGUAUUUUUGUCACAGUGAAGGACAAAGAUAAGCCAACUGUUUACAUUCCUCUCCUUUAUGUUGUGUCUUUGAUCACUAACAAUGCUGCGUGAACAGCCAACAGAAGGCUGACAUUUCAUAAAAUAUGCAGUGAUAAAAACUAAUACUGUAGCAUCUGGGAGCGAUAUAUAAAAUGCAGAAAUACACCUAAUAACUGUGAUCUUAAAUUACAAGUUACUAAAAGCUAAAUAAAAAGCAUACCUAGGAAUUUAAAAAGUGGCAAGACUACAAAGGGGGUUUUGUAUUCCUAUUUCUAAAAACAAAGUUUUAAAAAUAAUUUAAGUCUAUAACACUUUUCCUGCUAUUCUAUACUUAAAAGCCAGCUACCUUCUAAGAACAAGGCAUUGGUAUAAUAUACCUUUCAACAACUGAAGAAUACAUUACAACAUCAUCAUUGAAAGGUACUAUAGAAAAUGCCGAAGAAAUUUCUUUUUCUCAGAUGUUUUUAAAUGUCAAAACUGAUGAGAAAGAAGCAACAUAUCACUUUUAAGACAUGAUGCCGGACUAUCACUAAAAUAAGUUUUAAAAACUAUAAUAAUUUAAACAAAUAUACUCUUAAUGCCUGUUCUAAUACAUUUUUUCACAACCUAAGCCUUAAAUUAAAAUCCUUGGUAUAUAACAGCAAAGUAAAUUGUGCUCGAGUAUGUUUAAAUAAUUUUUUUUUUAAUUUUAUUUUCCCACUGUACAGCAAGGGGGUCAGGUUGUUUAAAUAAUUUUAACUUUACUGCUAAACAUUUGUUUUUUUAAUAGUGGGAGGUAUAACUAAGGCACUCAGUAAAGACCAUCCAACAGCAAUCGUGUGAAUUAUCUUUACAGCUUUCAGUUUGAUAUUCCACCUAUAUUCAUCAAAAUCACAGUCCAGCAGAAGUGUUUUCAUCAGUUUUUUUUAAUAUAUAUGCUAAGGGGAAGGGAAAAAAUAAAUGCCAUAUUCAGCACUUCAAGAAUUCUGAAUUACACUUUACUAAAGAAAAUAUACAGCAUUAAGUAUGUGGGAGGCAAUUGUCCUUGUGCUUAUAAUUAGCAUCUGAAUUUAGGGAUUUCACUGCUUAAUGCACACCCACCCGCCUGUGAUUCUUACCAGGGCUUUUUAUGUCACUUAAUGGAGAUAAAUACUCUUUUCCC